This 460-nucleotide ribosomal RNA is filed under the name uncultured bacterium. RNAcentral's name for it is "partial 16S ribosomal RNA". It matches the Rfam family "Bacterial small subunit ribosomal RNA", at positions 338 to 795 of the family's 1533-position model. The record is from RNAcentral.
CCUACGGGAGGCAGCAGUGAGGAAUAUUGGUCAAUGGACGCAAGUCUGAACCAGCCAUGCCGCGUGCAGGAAGAAGGUGCUAUGCAUUGUAAACUGCUUUUAUACGGGGGUAAUUCCAGAUACGUGUAUCUGUUUGCAUGUACCGUAUGAAUAAGGAUCGGCUAACUCCGUGCCAGCAGCCGCGGUAAUACGGAGGGUCCGGGCGUUAUCCGGAUUUAUUGGGUUUAAAGGGUGCGUAGGCGGUCAGGUAAGGUAGAGGUGAAAGCUCGAUGCUCAACAUCGAAACUGCCUCGGAUACUGUCUGACUAGGGUGUAGUUGCGGAAGGCGGAAUGUGUGGUGUAGCGGUGAAAUGCUUAGAUAUCACACAGAACACCGAUUGCGAAGGCAGCUUGCUAAGCUAGUACUGACGCUGAGGCACGAAAGCGUGGGGAGCGAACAGGAUUAGAUACCCCAGUAGUC